This 181-nucleotide unclassified non-coding RNA is filed under the name uncultured fungus. RNAcentral describes it as "sequence contains ITS1". The record is from RNAcentral. Lineage: Eukaryota; Fungi.
CUCCAGUCCCGCGUUUGGCGACCGCCAGACAUAUCAAUUGGACCCCGCAAAUUUUCGCGAAGCUCUGAAGGAAAUUAAGUCCGAUAUCGACGAGGGGGCGGAUAUUGUAAUGGUGAAGCCGGCGCUUCCGUAUCUGGAUGUGAUCCAUGCUGCCAGGCUGGCAUUUGACCGACCCAUCGCG